RNAcentral lists this ribosomal RNA (119 nucleotides) under Trichobilharzia regenti. Lineage: Eukaryota; Metazoa; Platyhelminthes; Trematoda; Strigeidida; Schistosomatidae. The record is from RNAcentral.
CUUGGUAACCAUACCCUAUUGAAAACAUUGGUUCUUGCCUGAUCACCAAAGUUAGGCAAUGUUUGGCUUAGUUAAUACUUACAUGGGUGACUGCCUGGAAAUACUAAGUGUUGCAAGCU